GAUGAACGCUGGCGGUAUGCUUAACACAUGCAAGUCGAACGGGGCUUUUCGGAGCCUAGUGGCGGACGGGUGAGUAACGCGUGAGAACGUGCCUUUAGAUUGGGGACAACAGUUGGAAACGACUGCUAAUACCGAAUGAACCGAGAGGUAAAAGAUUUAUCGUCUAAAGAUCGGCUCGCGUCAGAUUAGGUAGUUGGAGUGGUAACGGCACACCAAGCCUACGAUCUGUACUUGGUCUGAGAGGAUGACCAGGCACACUGGAACUGAGACACGGUCCAGACUCCUACGGGAGGCAGCAGUGGGGAAUUUUCCGC
RNAcentral lists this ribosomal RNA (314 nucleotides) under Leptolyngbya sp. N1.11a. Its description in RNAcentral is "bacterial SSU rRNA". It matches the Rfam family "Bacterial small subunit ribosomal RNA", at positions 28 to 369 of the family's 1533-position model. The record is from RNAcentral. Lineage: Bacteria; Bacillati; Cyanobacteriota; Cyanophyceae; Leptolyngbyales; Leptolyngbyaceae.